RNAcentral lists this ribosomal RNA (800 nucleotides) under uncultured bacterium. RNAcentral's name for it is "bacterial SSU rRNA". It matches the Rfam family "Bacterial small subunit ribosomal RNA", at positions 8 to 828 of the family's 1533-position model. The record is from RNAcentral.
AGAGUUUGAUCCUGGCUCAGGAUGAACGCUGGCGGCGUGCUUAACACAUGCAAGUCGAACGGAGUUAGGCUUCGGGCUUAACUUAGUGGCGGACGGGUGAGUAACGCGUGGAUAACCUGGCCCAUACAGGGGGAUAGCAGCUGGAAACGGCUGAUAAUACCGCAUAAGCGCACGGAUUCGCAUGAACCUGUGUGAAAAGCUCCGGCGGUAUGGGAUGGAUCCGCGUCUGAUUAGGCAGUUGGCGGGGUAACGGCCCACCAAACCGACGAUCAGUAGCCGGCCUGAGAGGGUGGACGGCCACAUUGGGACUGAGACACGGCCCAAACUCCUACGGGAGGCAGCAGUGGGGAAUAUUGCACAAUGGGGGGAACCCUGAUGCAGCGACGCCGCGUGAGCGAGGAAGUAUUUCGGUAUGUAAAGCUCUAUCAGCAGGGAAGACAAUGACGGUACCUGACUAAGAAGCCCCGGCUAACUACGUGCCAGCAGCCGCGGUAAUACGUAGGGGGCAAGCGUUAUCCGGAUUUACUGGGUGUAAAGGGAGCGGAGACGGCGCAGCAAGUCUGAAGUGAAAGGACGGGGCUUAACCCUGUGACUGCUUUGGAAACUGCGGUGCUUGAGUGCCGGAGGGGUAAGCGGAAUUCCUAGUGUAGCGGUGAAAUGCGUAGAUAUUAGGAGGAACACCAGUGACGAAGGCGGCUUACUGGACGGUAACUGACGUUGAGGCUCGAAGGCGUGGGGAGCAAACAGGAUUAGAUACCCUGGUAGUCCACGCGGUAAACGAUGAAUACUAGGUGUCAGCA